AGUAAGUAGCCGACUUGGGGAAGUGAUCGACGCUUGGGAUAAGUUAUCUGCUUUUUUAACCCCAUAAACUUUUUACUGUGGGUAAAGAGAUUCUUCUUGGGGUAUAAAAAAAAAACAUAUUUAAAUUUAGCUCAAGAGUUGAUGAUGUAUUUUUGCCAAGAAGGCUGCUCACU
Molecule: microRNA precursor, 173 nt
Filed under: Medicago truncatula (barrel medic)
Lineage: Eukaryota; Viridiplantae; Streptophyta; Magnoliopsida; Fabales; Fabaceae
Description: MIR2670 microRNA precursor family
Rfam family: MIR2670 microRNA precursor family
Source: Rfam by way of RNAcentral